GACGAACGCUGGCGGCGUGCUUAACACAUGCAAGUCGAACGGAAAGGCCUCUUUCGGGGGGUACUCGAGUGGCGAACGGGUGAGUAACACGUGAGUAACCUGCCCUUGACUUUGGGAUAACUUCAGGAAACUGGGGCUAAUACCGGAUAGGAGCUCCUGCUGCAUGGUGGGGGUUGGAAAGUUUCGGCGGUUGGGGAUGGACUCGCGGCUUAUCAGCUUGUUGGUGGGGUAGUGGCUUACCAAGGCUUUGACGGGUAGCCGGCCUGAGAGGGUGACCGGCCACAUUGGGACUGAGAUACGGCCCAGACGCCUACGGGAGGCAGCAGUGGGGAAGAUUGCACAAGGGGUGGAAGCCUGAUGCAGCAACGCCGUGUGCGGGAUGACGGCCUUCGGGUUGUAAACCGCUUUCGCUCAUGACGAAGCUUUGUGUGACGGUAGUGGGUAAAGAAGCACCGGCUAACUACGUG
RNAcentral lists this ribosomal RNA (467 nucleotides) under uncultured bacterium. RNAcentral describes it as "partial 16S ribosomal RNA". It matches the Rfam family "Bacterial small subunit ribosomal RNA", at positions 28 to 507 of the family's 1533-position model. The record is from RNAcentral.